GCUGGAAUAGUCUAAAUGGUUAAAACAUCUCAUUCAUAACGAGAAUUUAAAGGUUCGAGUCCUUUUUUCAGCC
Molecule: transfer RNA, 73 nt
Filed under: Ancylostoma caninum (dog hookworm)
Lineage: Eukaryota; Metazoa; Nematoda; Chromadorea; Rhabditida; Ancylostomatidae
Rfam family: tRNA
About the family: Transfer RNA (tRNA) molecules are approximately 80 nucleotides in length.
Source: Rfam by way of RNAcentral